Molecule: long non-coding RNA, 410 nt
Organism: Sarcophilus harrisii (Tasmanian devil)
Lineage: Eukaryota; Metazoa; Chordata; Mammalia; Dasyuromorphia; Dasyuridae
Exons: 4
Source: RefSeq, a predicted model, not a curated record
UUUUCAUCUUGUUCCAUGUUCUUAUAGAGGAAACAUGGAGAUCUUUUUUGAGUCCAAACUAGGGAGAUGAGAUGCCUGAGAAUUCAAGAGUUUGGGUUCAAGAACUAGCAGAUUGAGGAGGCAUUGGUGCAGUAUUAAGAGCUUCUGAGAGACACACAGCAUCUGGGAUGAGAUGUCUGUUCUGAGACGGAAGCCAAGAUCCUAUGGAGCUCAAGGUUUUAUGGAGCCAUUUCUAGGCAUCUUGCAACUGGACCCAGACAACACUGGAGAAGAGAGAGGCUGGUGUUUUUGCCCAGUCCCGCCUCAAUUAAGUGUGAUUCCCUUGCAAAUCAUGACGUCAUUCUCACAAUGUCAGGACCUCUUCUAGAACAAAUAAAGAAUAAACAGCUCUCUUCACCUUUGCAUUCUCA